RNAcentral lists this long non-coding RNA (584 nucleotides) under Equus caballus (horse). RNAcentral's name for it is "lncRNA (ENSECAG00000035303.3)". The record is from RNAcentral. Lineage: Eukaryota; Metazoa; Chordata; Mammalia; Perissodactyla; Equidae.
AGCAACUGAAUGCCUGGGUGGAUCAAGGUGGUGAUCUCUUUUCGUCCUGUAGCAAAGUAGACUUGUGGGUGUGGUCUGCCUUCACUGAGAUGGAAAUAAGAAAUUACAACUAGAGACCAUCAGAUCUGUAAGGCCUGGAGAGCCACGCAGAAGGAUGCAGACUGGUCAUCGGGCAGGAGUAUUGGUGCACAGAUGGCCAGUAUUGGAGGCUGAGACUUGAGAGAUGUCAAACAUCUGAGUGGGAUUAUUUUAGAAACAUCCUAUUGAAGUCCAUAAAAAUCCUUUUGAAAUUUGCAUUGAGAUUGACUUGGUAUGUUUGAAAUUUCAUCCAAUUUUCUACUGAGCUGUUUGUCACUAAAAUUUAGUUUGAGUUGAUUAUAAAUUAAACAAUUAUUAAUAUUUGCGAGAACCUUACCUUUUAAUUUUUAUAAUAGUUUUAUCACAAAGAUUGUUUUUAUUUUGAUUCUCUCAUUCUAUUUGAUGCCGGGACGGUGAGCCGAGGAGUCGAAGGAAAGAUUUCUUGGACUCUCAAGGUCUGGCAGUAGUGCUCUUUUAUUCAGAGAAUAGUAUGGAGUAGCAUGGGG